CGUAGCGGGGGGACGGGGUGGGAGGUAACGCGUGGGUAACCCGCCUCCAUACAGGGGGAUAACAGUUGGAAACGGCUGCUAAUACCGCAUAAGCGCACAGUACCGCAUGGUACGGUGUGAAAAACUCCGGUGGUAUGAGAUGGACCCGCGUCUGAUUAGGUAGUUGGUGGGGUAACGGCCUACCAAGCCGACGAUCAGUAGCCGACCUGAGAGGGUGACCGGCCACAUUGGGACUGAGACACGGCCCAA
Molecule: ribosomal RNA, 249 nt
Filed under: uncultured bacterium
Lineage: Bacteria
Description: partial 16S ribosomal RNA
Rfam family: Bacterial small subunit ribosomal RNA
Source: RNAcentral